CUGCCCGAGCCCCACCCCCCACCCCCUCCUGGUGGGCUUCCGCUUGGCCCGAGCUUCCUCGACGGGGGCUGCCCCCUGCUGGGCAGCGCCCAGUCCCAUGACCGCCCAAGGGUUGAGGAGUGCAGGCGCCUGACGCGGCCCUGGCACAGAAUCCACUAGGUGAAGCCAGCUAGGCUCCUGAGGCGGGUGGGGACUUGGAGAACUUUUAUGUCUAGCUAUAGGAUUGUAAGUACACCAAUCAGCAUUCUGUGUCUAGCCCAAGGUUUGUAAACACACCAAUCAGUACCCUGUGUCUAGCUCAAGGUUUGUAAAUGCACCAGUCAGUGCUCUGUGUGUAGCUAAUCUAGUGGGGACUUGGAGAACUUUUGUGUCUAGCUAAAGGUUUGUAAACGUGCCAGUCAGCACCCUGUCAAAACAGACCAAUCAGUUCUCUGUAAAACGGACCAAUCAGCUUGCUGUAAAAUGGACCAAUCAGCAGGAUGUGGGUGGGGCCAGAUAAGGGAAUAAAAGCAGGCUGCCCGAAUCAGCAGGGGCAACUUGCUGGGGUUCUCUUCUGAGCUGUGGAAGCUUUGUUGUUUUGCUCUUUACAAUAAAUGUUCAUUCUUUGGGUCCGCAUUGCCUUUAUGAGCUGUAACACUCACUGUGAAGGUCUACUGAUGCCACCGAGACCAUGAACCCACCAGGAGGAAUGGAACGAAUAACUCCUGACGGGAGGAAGGAUCAACUCCAGAGGCGCCGCCUUAAGAGCUGUAACACACGGUGAAGGUCUGCACCUUCACUCCUGAAGCCAGAGAGACCAUGAACCCACCAGAAGGAGGAAACUCCAAACAUGUCCAAACAUCAGAAGGAACAAACUCCAGACACACCACCUUUAAGAAUUGUAACACUCACUGCGAGGGUCGGUGGCUUCAUUCUUUAAGUUCGUGAGACCAAGAACCCACCAAUUCCGGACACACUGCCACCCCCCGUCACCUUCAGCGUGAAGCGGGAUGAGCCCUAGAUACAUAGCACCUUUCUCACCCGGACUGGAGACCUGUCCCCAGGGUAGGGGGUAGAUUCCUGGGUGCCACCAGGCAGGGUCUGGUUCAAAUGAGAAGAUGAUUGGCAGAAGCCAGUUAUGAUGUGAAGAGAGGCUCACAUGGCAAGGACUGAAGCCUCCUGCCAACAGCCACACAUAUGAGUCACCUUGGAAGCAGAUCUUCCUGCACCAGUCAAAUCUUCGGAUGACUGCAGCCCCAGCCUCCACCUCGACCACCUCAUGAGAGACGCUGAGUCAGAGCCAUCCAGUUAAGCUGCUUCUGAGCUCCUGACCCACAUCAACUGUGAGAUUAGAAAUGUCUGUUGUUAAUCAAAACCGCAAUGAGAUACCAUCUUACACCAGUUAGAAUGGCUGUUACUAAAAAGUCGAAAAACAGCUGAUGCUCGUGAGGCUGCAGAGAAAAGGGAACACUUAGACACUGUUGGUGGGAGUGUAAAUUAAUGCAACCAUUGUGGAAAGCAGUGUGGUGAUUCCUCAAAGGGCUAAAAACAGAACUACCAUUCAACCCAGCAAUCCCAUUACAAGGUAUAUACCCAAAGGAAUAUAAAUCAUUGUACCCUAAAGACGCACGCAUGCAAAUGUUCAUUGCAGCACUAUUCACAGUAGCAGAGACGUGGAGUCAACCUAAAUGUUCAUCAAUGACAGAUUGGAUGAAGAAAAUGUGGUACAGAUACACCAUGGAAUGCUAUGCAGCCAUAAAAAAAGAAUGCGAUCGUGUCUUUUGUGGGAGCAUGAAUGGAGCUGGAGGCCAUUAUCCUUAGCAAACUAAUGUAGGAACAGAAAACCAAAUACCUCUUGUUGUCACUUAUUAGUGGGAGCUAAAUGAUGAGAACUCAUGGACACAAAGAGGGGAAUAGCAGACACUGGAACCUACUUGAGGAUGAAGGGUGGGAGGAGGGAGAGGAGCAGAAAAAAGUGACUAUUGGGCAGUAGGCUUAGUACCUG
RNAcentral lists this long non-coding RNA (1984 nucleotides) under Homo sapiens (human). Its description in RNAcentral is "HSALNT0245612". Lineage: Eukaryota; Metazoa; Chordata; Mammalia; Primates; Hominidae. The record is from RNAcentral.